AUUGAACGCUGGCGGCAGGCCUAACACAUGCAAGUCGAACGAGUGGCGGACGGGUGAGUAAUGUCUGGGAAACUGCCCGAUGGAGGGGGAUAACUACUGGAAACGGUAGCUAAUACCGCAUACCAUCGGAUGUGCCCAGAUGGGAUUAGCUAGUAGGUGGGGUAACGGCUCACCUAGGCGACGAUCCCUAGCUGGUCUGAGAGGAUGACCAGACACACGGGCACGGAGACACGGUCCAGACUACUACGGGAGGUAGCAGUGGGGAAUAUUGCAUAAGGGGCGCAAGCCUGAUGGAGCCAGGCCGCGUGUAGGAAGAAGGCCGUCGGGUUGGAAAGUACUUUCAGCGAGGAGGCGUUACGCGCAGAAGAAGCAUCGGCUAACUCCGUGCCAGCAGCCGCGGUAAUUC
This 406-nucleotide ribosomal RNA is filed under the name uncultured bacterium. RNAcentral's name for it is "partial 16S ribosomal RNA". It matches the Rfam family "Bacterial small subunit ribosomal RNA", at positions 29 to 526 of the family's 1533-position model. The record is from RNAcentral.